GAUGAACGCUGGCGGCGUGCCUAAUACAUGCAAGUCGAGCGAACGGACGAGAAGCUUGCUUCUCUGAUGUUAGCGGCGGACGGGUGAGUAACACGUGGAUAACCUACCUAUAAGACUGGGAUAACUUCGGGAAACCGGAGCUAAUACCGGAUGAUAUUUUGAACCGCAUGGUUCAAAAGUGAAAGGCGGUCUUGCUGUCACUUAUAGAUGGAUCCGCGCUGCAUUAGCUAGUUGGUAAGGUAACGGCUUACCAAGGCAACGAUGCAUAGCCGACCUGAGAGGGGGAUCGGCCACACUGGAACUGAGACACGGUCCAGACUCCUACGGGAGGCAGCAGUAGGGAAUCUUCCGCAACGGGCGAAAGCCUGACGGAGCAACGCCGCGUGAGUGAUGAAGGUCUUCGGAUCGUAAAACUCUGUUAUUAGGGAAGAACAUAUGUGUAAGUAACUGUGCACAUCUGGACGGUACCUAAUCAGAAAGCCACGGCUAACUACGU
RNAcentral lists this ribosomal RNA (496 nucleotides) under uncultured bacterium. Its description in RNAcentral is "partial 16S ribosomal RNA". It matches the Rfam family "Bacterial small subunit ribosomal RNA", at positions 28 to 506 of the family's 1533-position model. The record is from RNAcentral.